GCAAAAGGUGGAUCUGGAGGGAGCAGGAAAAGUCUUGGUCAAGAGCAAUCUUUUCAGAUGUCUCAGAAAGUAGUAGCUCGAAUGUUGAUGAGUUUGGGGUUUGAGGGUGCCACAGAAGUUCCAUUGGAGGUUUUCUCCCAGUUCUUGAGUUGCCAUAUCUGUAAACUUGGUAGCACUUUGAGAGUACUGGCUGAUAGUUACAGAAAGCAGUGUUCAGCCGUGGAUUUACUCAGGAUGUUCCUUAAAACGAUGGGAUAUAG
Molecule: unclassified non-coding RNA, 260 nt
Filed under: Hevea brasiliensis (rubber tree)
Lineage: Eukaryota; Viridiplantae; Streptophyta; Magnoliopsida; Malpighiales; Euphorbiaceae
Source: RNAcentral